UUAAACCUCUUCCAGAGUAUCAAUUGGAGGGCAAGUCUGGUGCCAGCAGCCGCGGUAAUUCCAGCUCCAAUAGCGUAUAUUAAAAUUGUUGCAGUUAAAAAGCUCGUAGUUGAAUUUCUGCUGCAUUACUUUUGCUCCUUUACGAGUCUUUGCAUUGUGGCUUAUUUCGGACUUUGUUUUACAAUGUCCGGAUGUUUACUUUGAGAAAAUUAGAGUGCUCAAAGCAGGCUUUCGCCUUGAAUAGUUUAGCAUGGAAUAAUAAAGUAGGACUUUGGUUCUAUUUUGUUGGUUUUAGGUACCAAAGUAAUGGUUAAUAGGAACAGUUGGGGGCAUUCGUAUUUAACUGUCAGAGGUGAAAUUCUUAGAUUUGUUAAAGACGAACUACUGCGAAAGCAUUUGCCAAGGAUGUUUUCAUUAAUCAAGAACGAAAGUUAGGGGAUCGAAGACGAUCAGAUACCGUCGUAGUCCUAACCAUAAACUAUGCCGACUAGGGAUCGGGCGGUGUUUCUAUAAUGACCCGCUCGGCACCUUACGAGAAAUCAAAGUUUUUGGGUUCUGGGGGGAGUAUGGUCGCAAGGCUGA
RNAcentral lists this ribosomal RNA (582 nucleotides) under Theileria ovis. RNAcentral describes it as "SSU rRNA". It matches the Rfam family "Eukaryotic small subunit ribosomal RNA", at positions 525 to 1140 of the family's 1831-position model. Lineage: Eukaryota; Apicomplexa; Aconoidasida; Piroplasmida; Theileriidae. The record is from RNAcentral.